CAGUGUGUGUGUGGUGUGGUGCUGACAAACGUUGCAUCAAGCACAUGGGAAGGGAUGGGUCACGCACGCAAGGCAAGGGUGCUUGCUUUCUGAAGAUAGAGCCGUCUCUCUCUUCCCUAUUUUCUGUCUCUCAUCAGUCAUCUCUCUACUACCUAAUCCUUUAUCCCUCUCAUUUUUUCUCACUCAUCUCUCUCGUAUUCUCUCUCUCUCUACAACCCAGAAACCACCUAACCUUUCCUUCCACCAAUCCAAAACCAAGCCAAACAUCCCUACUCACUCUCUCUCAUUUCAUUUCGCCUCUCAUCUGCCUUCACUCAGUCUCAGACUCUCCCUCUCUUUCUCGAAUUUGAAGCUUAGCAGCCACCCACCGUCUAGCAAUCUGACUCCGACGAACUAUCUGCACUUCGGCUACCACCACACCUCAUGGCUUCAUCCCCACCUUCGGUUAUCUCCAGUGAUUCUCUGUGUGUGUGGGAUUUCGAAUUGAGGUUAGGGUUUUGAAUUGGGGCUUAGGGUUUCGAAUUGGGGGCUCGGGUCAGGAGGAGGUUCGGAUGAUUUCAAUAUUAAUCUAAGACGAUUUGGAUUCUGAUGAUGUUCGGUUUCAGGAAAUUCCGAAAUACCGAAAAUAUUUCGGGAAUCCCGAAAUUUCGGUUCGGGAUCGGUCUUGAGAUUUACGUCCCAAAAAUUUUCGGUUCGGGAUUUGAUAUGCCAUUUUUGGUUCGGUAUCCCAUACCGAACCAGCCCUAAACCAAACCCGUUCAUUGGCUUUGCCUUUUUCUGUCGUAUAUGGGGCUUUUGGUGUUGCCCCAUUUUCCACACCCACCACUGUCCUUAUUUAUUAUUAUUAUUUUAUUUUUGUUGUUUUGUGUAUGUGUCUAUGUCUGUGUUUUCAAAGUUGGUAAGUUUUUUUUUGUUUGUUUUUUUAUUACAAAUGGUUUUUUAAAUUGACCAAUCUCAUUAAAAUUGUCUCUGAAAUUGAAAAUCGAUCAAUGUAGUCUUUGAAAUUAGAUGUCACAAAUCAAUGUGAUCCUUUCAUCACAAUUCUAUCAAAAACUAUGUUUAGUACUGAUAUGGCACUUAAAUAGGUCCCACAAAUUAAAUUAAAUAGUAUUUUGUGAAUUAAAAAUAUUUAAAUAAUAAAAAUGAUAUUUUUUUUAAUUUUUAUUAAAAAAAAGCUUCAUGUGCAACAGCCAUAACGCUCAGAGUCUUCUCAUCCUCCUCAUCUUCCUCCGUUUCUUUCAAGCCCUAACAAGUCACUCACUUUCAAGUUCAGCACUUCCUAGUGGGGUUGGGUUUGGGUGCGAUUACAUUUGCGACGGUGACGACGAGUGACGAGAAAGGCUCGAAUGCCGGCGUUAAACUCCACGAGCCAAUCAAUAGGGUUAAACUCCUAUUGCACUACACGGCUCUCCUUUCGCGGUUUGAUGAUUCGAAGCGGGUCAUGGGCUGCACGGCCCGGGUGUGGCAGCAAGUCGAGAUGGACGAGGAUGGCAAGAUGAGAUUCGCGGCCGGCAACAAUUUCAAAAUCACUAGGGGCUUCCACUCCUGCCAGGUUUCGGUGCUCGAUGACACGUUGCCAGAAGAGGUGUUGCAGGUUAAGAUCGACGUCUUGUCGUCACUCAGUGUGGGAUUGCCGGGCGCGUUUGUUUUUUGCCUUUUCAAGUUUUUAAUAAUAAAAAAUAAUUUUAUUUUAUUUUUUAUUAUAAAUUAUUGAAUUAUUUUUAAUCCAUAUUGAAAUAAUUAAUUAGGUUUAUGGAACCGAUAUGUGCCACAUCAGCACUUCACAGAGUUUUUUACGAAAUUAUGACAGAAUGACCAUAUUGAUUUGCGACACCUAAUUUUAAGGACCACAUUGAUUGAUUUUUAAUUUCAGAGACCAUCUUGAUGAGAUGGGUCAACUUCGGAGAUCAUUUGUAAUAAAAUUAUGAGCAGCUAUUAUCCAUAUAUGCAUUAUAAUACUAGACUA
Long non-coding RNA from Malus domestica (apple), 1966 nucleotides. RefSeq lists it as uncharacterized. The record is from RefSeq and is a predicted model, not a curated record. NCBI's taxonomy places the organism in Eukaryota, Viridiplantae, Streptophyta, Magnoliopsida, Rosales, Rosaceae.